CUUGAUCCUCUGCCAGCUGCUCUCCUGUGGGUCUGCAAGAGCCCAACUGUUGGGAGAACAAUUUGAUUUAUCCUCUGGUCUCCACGGGUUGUGAGCAGCACACGUGUUCCCUGCCAGAGCGAUCGUGUACGUGUCUGAAGGACAAAGAGGGGCAGGCUGGCUGUCUACCCUGGGGUCCCAGGCCAAGCAGUGAAAGAACGGCCUAACGAGGGGCACAGGCACAACCACAGUGGAGAUGGUCUGAGAAGGCCUCGCAGCACAGAUGCUGA
RNAcentral lists this long non-coding RNA (269 nucleotides) under Homo sapiens (human). Its description in RNAcentral is "PREDICTED lncRNA (TCONS_00011910)". The record is from RNAcentral. Lineage: Eukaryota; Metazoa; Chordata; Mammalia; Primates; Hominidae.